This is a long non-coding RNA of Balaenoptera musculus (blue whale), 102 nucleotides long. RefSeq lists it as uncharacterized. The transcript is spliced from 3 exons. NCBI's taxonomy places the organism in Eukaryota, Metazoa, Chordata, Mammalia, Artiodactyla, Balaenopteridae. The record is from RefSeq and is a predicted model, not a curated record.
UUUCUUUGGGGGGUGAUGACAGCAUCCUGGAACUAGAUAGAGGUGACAGCUGCACAUCAUUGUGAAGGUACUAAAUGCCACUAACUUGUAUAUGUAUAAUGG